Xenopus laevis (African clawed frog) is the source of this 3878-nucleotide long non-coding RNA. RefSeq lists it as uncharacterized. NCBI's taxonomy places the organism in Eukaryota, Metazoa, Chordata, Amphibia, Anura, Pipidae. The record is from RefSeq and is a predicted model, not a curated record. The transcript has 3 exons.
GUUGUAGUAGCCUAUUUGAUGGUCGAAGUAUCCAAAAAUUAUUUUGAAUUUCGAAUUUUUUUACUUCGAAAAUUCCCUGGAAUUCACUUCGACCCUUGAUAAAUCUGCCCCAUAAAGAUUAGGAAACAUGGAAAAAAGUUUCCCUCAAGGUGGAACCCACAAAAAAGGGGAGCAAAAAGCUGUUAAAAAGAGGCCUAAGGAAAAUGACGACAACCUUUUUUCGGUAAGUAAUAUGAGAAUAUAUUUAUUUUCUAUCAAAUGGAAGUUUAUCUUUAAAAAAAUGUGUGUGUGUGUGUAUAAUAGUUUAAUUUUUAAGCCAUCCGUUAAAAAAACACAUCAGUGAUGAAACUUUACACUUCAGUAUUAGAAAAAUGGUCGCAAAUAGAAAAUAGAAAGUAAUUGAAAAAAGUCGUUAUUUCUGGUGGACUGUCUGAAACCAACUAUCACGCAAACCUGCUGUGCAGCAGUAAGGAGUGACUGAAGUUUAUCAGAGCACAAGUCACAUGACUGGGGGCACCUGGAAAACUGACAAUAUGUCUAGCCCAAUGUCGGAUUUAAAAUUAAAUUUAAAAAAUCAUGUUUUCCCAUGACAUUAUCCCUUUAAUUUGUGUUUGCCUGCAGGGCCCUUACUCAGAGUAGGGCAGUACCUAAACUAUGUGAUUAAGGAAGUGAAGAAUAAGGGUAAGAUCGUCUGUCUUUCCACCACCCAGAAUGACGUGGCUGGUGCUUUUGCAACUGUGGAACAGAACUGGAGCUUGAAUAAUCUGUUGCCUGGACUUGUACUUAAAACACAGGUAGAAAAGGUAAAUCUAGGAAAGAACUGUAUUUGGUUUGGUAUCCUGAAAUUACAGUGGAUCCGUGAGUAAAUCUAUAUAAUGUUUUUUUCCAGGUGACACAGAGCAGCCUCACUUUGUCUUUCCUUUCCUCCUACACGGGUUUUGUGGAUUUCUUGCACAUUGAACCAAAGAAAAUAGGUUCCUAUGAGGAGGGACAGGAAAUACGUAUCUAGUAAGGUUGACACCUUUUCUGGAAAAAAAUACCGGCCUUCCUAUAUAUUUAUCUUUUUUCCCUAUUAAUAAUAUUGGGAUCAAGCAUCAUUUUUACCGGCCAGGCUGGUAAAAUAACAGGAAGGUGGCAACCCUAGUAUCUAGACGAAGGGUUACAGACCUGCAGUUUGUUAUUAAUUUCUAAAAUUGGACCAUACCUGGGGCAGUAUUUGUUUAGAACAACUUUGACCUAGGUCAGCACUGUCACCAUUCAUCUCUGGGGUUCUAGGGUCAAUUCCAGCCGGGGUACUAUGAUUUUUAUAUUUUCUCCCCAUUUGUUUGGGUUUCCUUGUUCUUCAGCUUCCUCCCAAGCUCCAAGAACAUACAGAAUGAUUCAUUGACUCCUGAUCAUUGACCAUAAUGUGCACGAAUAUGAUAGCAACUUUUAAUUCUAGAAUGUUGGAGAGAUAUUUGGAUUCUUUAACACUAACUUUUCUUCUUGUCUGCAGGCCAAAGCCUGUAUCUAGUGGAUUGAUCCAUCCACAAAGACCAUCAGACUCGCACUCCGCCAGUGCUUUCUGCAACCAGGGAACCCUCUGCCUUGCAAAUUGCAAACAUUGGUUAAGAAUGCUGGAGCCAUUUUUGAGCUGGAUGGAGGAAACCUGGGCUUUGCAUUUGUAAGUUUUGGAGAUGCUGCAACACACAAACCUUAAAAAUGGAUGACACGGGUUGGCGGUUCUCCAGGUUUGCGGGUCGGGUGUCUUCUCAAUAGUGAGUUUUACUCCUUUUUUCUCAGCACUUCCUGUUUUACUCCUUUUUUUCUGAUCACGCCUACUUCUAAUGAUGUCACUUCCGGUUCACAAUGACAGCACUUCCUGUUUCUUGAUGGUCAGUGGGUCACAGAUCGGGUUGCGGAUAAGGUACUUGUGGGUCAGGUAGCGGGUCCAAGCUGGUGUGGGUCGUGGGUCAGGUUCAGGUCUCACAAAUUGGUUCCGCGCAGGAAUCUAGCUUGUGCUACAAUUCUGACGUGCAAAGAACGAUCGUUCUACGACAAAUGUCUGUAAUUAACACCCACUGCCCGAUUUUAUCCCUAAACAACCAACAUUUUUAAACUCACGAUCAAUUUUGUUCGUACACCAUCAACCAUCCGAUAAGUUACCGAUAUUAUCGGAACGUUAGGGAAUCAGUCGUUUGGAAGUAAAAAAUCUGCCCGUGUAUGGCCACCUUUACGCUUAGAAAAUAGAUUCUGUUCUUUCUUGAUGUCUCCACAACACUGUAUUUAGAGAAAAAUCUCUAUGAUGUAAAUUUAAAUCCUUUCGGGGCACCAAAAUUGUUUGAAAAGAUUUGAUAAACUUGCUCAUCACUCGGUGUGUCUUUGUGCCUUUUUUUCCCCUAUUGAAAAAUGGCAACACUAAUACCAUAACUGUCUUACCCUACCAUCAUUUCUUCUUGUCCUCCUCGCAACUGCUCCUCAGGGCAUACUCCUUGUAUACAGCUCUGAUAAUAUCACACCCUUCUGCAAUAUACUGGAAAUUAAAGGUGAUGAUUCCCUUUAAAAGAAAAAGUUGAUGAACUUUUAGUACAAAACUUGCGGUUGGCUUAGUCCUUUACAAGUUUGGUUCAGUUAUUAACAAAGAAAUCUGUUCUGAUUUCCUCCUUUGAGAAAGGAUUGUGUGCAAAAGUCAUUUCUGAAGUGCAGCCAGGGAUGCACCUGACUGGCUUUGUGAAAAGUUUCAUGCCAUAUGGUGUCUUUGUAGAAUUCCCAUACAGCCUGUUUGGAUUGGUGCCCAAAUCAGUAAGUAAUGGCAGUCUGUGUGGCUUCACGUGGGAGAGAUGUCAGACUGUGGAGUGCCUUAGUCUCCUUUGGACGUGAUAAACAAUUUUAAUUGACGUUCUGCAAGCUAUAAAAGACAAGACAUCUGUAGAAGUGGGGGUAACCUCCCCGAGGGACUCCCUAAUAUUGCUUUGCAGAGCAGAAAAAAAGAGAACUGAAGGUGACUGAUAGUAGUGUCAUUGAAUAUAUGCAAACAGUUGGAAGGGAAUUAGCCAAAUUGGUGCCCUUAAAACAACGUCAUAGAAGUGGAAUCUCCAGCCUCAAAGCUGCUGUUGUGUGAGAUUUGUAGUGCAGCAAAGAAUAUAACAAAUAGCUUGCUUCAAUUAUAACUUUAGUAAACUGUGGCCAACUCCACCUAUUGAGUCCAGGCCUGGAAAUAAUAAAAAUAUGGAAAACUCCACUCAACCUCUGUUUGUUUUUACGUAUAGUUAAUCUCCCAUCGAAAAUCCAUAUGAACUGACAAAUCACACUGCUGUUUUUUUCCUAAUAGGAAAUAUCUGACAAGUUUGUGACCAACAUCAGCGACCAUUUUGUUGAGGGCCAGACUGUGGUUGCCACAUUGAACAAGAUGGAUGAAGAGAAAAAGAGGUUCCUGCUGACUCUGAAGAUAUCGGAAUACGCUCCCCAUGAUUGUUCCAUUGAAGGCCUUUUUCUUCUGAGCCAGUGUUUCAGUGAACUGCAGCUCCUGAAGGAUCUGCUCGGGUCCCCAGAUUUGCUGGAUCACAACUGCCUUCACAUUGAUUCCAAAACCUCUGGAUAGACAAGGGACAUUUUUGAGCGUGUUAUUCAUCUGAGCUUGGCAGCUAAAUGGAUCAAGUUCUUUUUCAAGCUCUACUUGGAGUACGAAAAGAAACACAGAAGCACUGAGAGCGUCCAGGCUGUGAAAGAGAAAGCCCUGCAGUAUGUGGAAUCUCAGAGUUCUUUGGCGCCCUGUGCUUAAAGGAGAAGGAAAGCUACGGAGGCAUUUUAUUGCCAAUAGAUUAGCUGCAAUAGUGCAACCUAGAAUGCUAUAUUUAUUCUGUAGAAUGUUUUACCAUACCUGAGUAAAAAGCUGUAGA